Molecule: small RNA, 283 nt
Filed under: Edwardsiella tarda
Lineage: Bacteria; Pseudomonadati; Pseudomonadota; Gammaproteobacteria; Enterobacterales; Hafniaceae
Description: Soft rot Enterobacteriaceae Rev 39 5'UTR
Rfam family: Soft rot Enterobacteriaceae Rev 39 5'UTR
About the family: From bacteria cultured under starvation conditions.
Source: RNAcentral
GUUGUCAGUGCGUGAACUUCUAUGAUAACUGUUUAAACACUGAGUAACGAAACAACAGAUUUCACUAUUUAUGAGCCUACUUGUCCAAGUGAUUAGCCUAGUCGUGAUUAGCGUGGUGGUGAUUAUUAUCCCACCGUGCGGGGCAGCACUUGGACGAAUAAAGGCUUAGUAAUCAGGCCUGAGUCAAAAAAGAGCCCCCGCACCAUCCGGUUCGGGGGCUCUUUUUUUUACGCUGUAACCGGUCGGGCAGGGAUGUCAGGAUUCAGAAUAAAAUUCUGUGAUU